This 487-nucleotide ribosomal RNA is filed under the name uncultured bacterium. Its description in RNAcentral is "partial 16S ribosomal RNA". It matches the Rfam family "Bacterial small subunit ribosomal RNA", at positions 28 to 507 of the family's 1533-position model. The record is from RNAcentral.
GAUGAACGCUAGCGAUAGGCUUAACACAUGCAAGUCGAGGGGCAGCACAAGGUAGCUUGCUAUCUGGGUGGCGACCGGCGCACGGGUGCGUAACGCGUAUGCAACUUGCCCUAUACAGGAGGAUAACCCGUCGAAAGACGGACUAAUACUGCGUAUGCUCACAACUUGGCAUCAAGUGGUGAGGAAAGAAAUUCGGUAUAGGAUAGGCAUGCGUCCCAUUAGCUUGUUGGUGAGGUAACGGCUCACCAAGGCAACGAUGGGUAGGGGAACUGAGAGGUUUAUCCCCCACACUGGUACUGAGACACGGACCAGACGCCUACGGGAGGCAGCAGUGAGGAAUAUUGGUCAAUGGGCGCGAGCCUGAACCAGCCAAGUCGCGUGAAGGAUGACUGUCUUAUGGAUUGUAAACUUCUUUUAUACGGGAAUAACAAGAGUCACGUGUGACUCCCUGCAUGUACCGUAUGAAUAAGCAUCGGCUAACUCCGUG